Molecule: ribosomal RNA, 183 nt
Filed under: uncultured Bacteroidota bacterium
Lineage: Bacteria; Pseudomonadati; Bacteroidota
Description: uncultured Bacteroidetes bacterium partial 16S ribosomal RNA
Rfam family: Bacterial small subunit ribosomal RNA
Source: RNAcentral
AGGCAGCAGUAGGAAUAUUGGUCAAUGGGCGCAAGCCUGAACCAGCCAUGCCGCGUGCAGGAAGAAUGCCCUCUGGGUUGUAAACUGCUUUUAUUUGGRAAUAAACCUUUCUACGUGUAGAAAGCUGAAGGUACUAAAUGAAUACAGCACCGGCUAACUACCGUGCCAGCAGCCGCGGUAAUA